GGUUAUUAUGUUCCUCUCGAAAUCAGAUGAGGAGACUACAUCUAACAGGAAACUUGCCAAGGAUUUGGUUGACAAAUGGAGUCGACCAAUAUUCAACAAGAGUACACGGUUUGAAGACAUGAGAAAUCUAGAGGAUGAGAGAGCUGCUCAAUACAGGCGGCCCUUGAAAAAACCCAUGAAUAAAGCAUCAGGAAUGGAAUCCAGAGACGAUGACCUUGACUUGGCUGGAUAUUCACAAGGGCAAAAAUCUGGUCAGUCAUCUGGUAGGCAACUUACAUCAAGGCCUGAAGCAAUGUCAAUGGAUUUUGUGGUGCGUCCACAGUCUAAGAUUGAUCCUGACGAAGUUAGGGCCAGGGCUAGAGCAAUGGUUCAAGACCAGCGCCGAAUGAAGAUGAAUAAGAAACUGCAGCAGUUAAAAGCUCCCAAAAAGAAGAAACUCCAAGCCACAAAACUGAGUGUGGAGGGUCGUGGCAUGGUGAAGUACCUCUAGGCUGUGUUUAUUGUGCUUGCCCUUGUUAGGGUAAAUAGCCUGUUGGCUCUGCUACACAAGGAUGGGUGUUCUUCUGAGCUUCGUAUCUGGACAGUGGCUAAUCAAAGUGCCUUGUGAAUGUGGGAUCAUUUUUGAAAUUAGUUUGAGGGCUUCUAGUAUGUUAUGCUGAUGAUCAGUCGUCAUUGAUUAAAUGGUGCCGCAUGUUAUCUACUUAUAUUAUUCCUUCCUUAGCAGCUUUCUGAGGAUGGCUUCUUCCUUAUAACAUGUUGGUGUGUCGCUGAUACCCAUUAAUUUUGGUUCCCUAAUAAGUUUCCAAGUCAUUGGUGUAAUGGAAGUCAUGGCUGUUGCUAUGGGUGAUGCGCAACUUGGAAUACUAUAUUAUUGCCGUUUGGCAUGUAUUAUGCUGUUUUCCUGAAGCUCUUUAGCUAGGUUUUCUACCCUUUCAUUUGCUUGUUUAGUAUUAUUAGCUUGUGAGUUGAGACAAAGAUCUUAUUCUUCUCCAGAAGGCAAAUUGUACUUUUUCCUGUUUUAGACUAAACAAAGUAUU
This 1037-nucleotide unclassified non-coding RNA is filed under the name Hevea brasiliensis (rubber tree). The record is from RNAcentral. Lineage: Eukaryota; Viridiplantae; Streptophyta; Magnoliopsida; Malpighiales; Euphorbiaceae.